UACAGAGGGUGCAAGCGUUGUUCGGAAUUAUUGGGCGUAAAGCGCGCGCAGGUGGUUUCUUAAGUCUGAUGUGAAAGCCCACGGCUCAACCGUGGAGGGUCAUUGGAAACUGGGGAACUUGAGUGCAGGAGAGAAGAGUGGAAUUCCACGUGUAGCGGUGAAAUGCGUAGAGAUGUGGAGGAACACCAGUGGCGAAGGCGACUCUUUGGCCUGUAACUGACACUGAGGCGCGAAAGCGUGGGGAGCAAACAGG
Molecule: ribosomal RNA, 253 nt
Filed under: uncultured bacterium
Lineage: Bacteria
Description: partial 16S ribosomal RNA
Rfam family: Bacterial small subunit ribosomal RNA
Source: RNAcentral